This 520-nucleotide unclassified non-coding RNA is filed under the name Hevea brasiliensis (rubber tree). Lineage: Eukaryota; Viridiplantae; Streptophyta; Magnoliopsida; Malpighiales; Euphorbiaceae. The record is from RNAcentral.
AUGCUUUUGUAUUUCUACAUCCUUUAUUCUCCAGAUUGGCACUACCGUAGUACAAUGCCCACCUUCUUGUUCUUAUACGGGGCUGCAUUUGCAGUUUUUCAUGCAUUGGUUCGUUUUGGAAUUGGUUUUAAGGUGCACUAUGCAAUCCUUUGUCUUCUCUGCAUACCCCGGAUGUACAAAUACUACAUUUACACAAAGGAUGUGUCCGCAAAGCGGCUUGCAAAAUUAUAUGUGGGUACCAUAUUCUUGGGGAGUCUUUGUUGGCUUUUGGAUCGCAUUCUCUGCAGUGAUAUUUCUCAGUGGUACUUCAACCCACAGGGACAUGCUUUAUGGCAUGUCUUCAUGGGCUUCAAUUCAUAUUUUGCUAACACUUUCCUGAUGUUUUGCCGUGCUCAACAGUUAGGGUGGAAUCCAAAAGUUGUCCACUUCGUGGGUUUUUUCCCAUAUGUUAAGGUUGAAAAACCGAAGACCCAGUGAGAGAUGCUAUCCCUCAUUUGGAGGUAGAUAUAUGGUUUUGGCA